This 490-nucleotide ribosomal RNA is filed under the name uncultured bacterium. Its description in RNAcentral is "partial 16S ribosomal RNA". It matches the Rfam family "Bacterial small subunit ribosomal RNA", at positions 30 to 507 of the family's 1533-position model. The record is from RNAcentral.
AUUGAACGCUGGCGGCAGGCCUAACACAUGCAAGUCGAACGGUAACAGGAAACAGCUUGCUGUUUCGCUGACGAGUGGCGGGCGGGUGAGUAAUGUCUGGGAAACUGCCUGAUGGAGGGGGAUAACUACUGGAGACGGUAGCUAAUACCGCAUAACGUCGCAAGACCAAAGAGGGGGACCUUCGGGCCUCUUGCCAUCGGAUGUGCCCAGAUGGGAUUAGCUAGUAGGUGGGGUAACGGCUCACCUAGGCGACGAUCCCUAGCUGGUCUGAGAGGAUGACCAGCCACACUGGAACUGAGACACGGUCCAGACUCCUACGGGAGGCAGCAGUGGGGAAUAUUGCACAAUGGGCGCAAGCCUGAUGCAGCCAUGCCGCGUGUAUGAAGAAGGCCUUCGGGUUGUAAAGUACUUUCAGCGGGGAUGAAGGGAGUAAAGUUAAUACCUUUGCUCAUUGACGUUACCCGCAGAAGAAGCACCGGCUAACUCCGUG